UUGGUUAAGUUAGAAAGGGCGCACGGUGGAUGCCUUGGCACUAGGAGCCGAAGAAGGACGGGACUAACACCGAUAUGCUUUGGGGAGCUGUACGUAAGCGUUGAUCCAGAGAUUUCCGAAUGGGGGAACCCACUAUCUUUAGUCGGAUAGUAUCCUUACGUGAAUACAUAGCGUGAGGAAGGCAGACCCAGGGAACUGAAACAUCUAAGUACCUGGAGGAAGAGAAAGAAAAAUCGAUUUCCUGAGUAGCGGCGAGCGAAACGGAAAGAGCCCAAACCAAGAAGCUUGCUUCUUGGGGUUGUAGGACACUCUAUACGGAGUUACAAAAGAAAGUUAUAAAUGAAGCGGUCUGGAAAGGCCCGCCAAAGACGGUAACAGCCCGGUAGUUGAAAUGGCUUUCCCUCCAGAGUGGAUCCUGAGUACGGCGGAACACGUGAAAUUCCGUCGGAAUCCGGGAGGACCAUCUCCCAAGGCUAAAUACUCCCUAGUGACCGAUAGUGAACCAGUACCGUGAGGGAAAGGUGAAAAGCACCCCGGAAGGGGAGUGAAACAGUUCCUGAAACCGUGUGCCUACAAGUAGUUAGAGCCCGUUAAUGGGUGAUAGCGUGCCUUUUGUAGAAUGAACCGGCGAGUUACGAUUUGUUGCAAGGUUAAGCGGAAAAAGCGGAGCCGUAGCGAAAGCGAGUCUGAAUAGGGCGCAUAAGUAACAGGUCGUAGACCCGAAACCAGGUGAUCUACCCAUGUCCAGGAUGAAGGUAAGGUAAUACUUACUGGAGGUCCGAACCCACGCACGUUGAAAAGUGCGGGGAUGAGGUGUGGGUAGCGGAGAAAUUCCAAUCGAACUUGGAGAUAGCUGGUUCUCUCCGAAAUAGCUUUAGGGCUAGCCUCGAGGUAAAGAGUCAUGGAGGUAGAGCACUGUUUGGACUAGGGGCCCUUCUCGGGUUACCGAAUUCAGAUAAACUCCGAAUGCCAUGUACUUAUACUCGGGAGUCAGACUGCGAGUGAUAAGAUCCGUAGUCGAAAGGGAAACAGCCCAGACCACCAGUUAAGGUCCCCAAAUAUAUGUUAAGUGGAAAAGGAUGUGGGGUUGCUUAGACAACCAGGAUGUUGGCUUAGAAGCAGCCACCAUUGAAAGAGUGCGUAAUAGCUCACUGGUCGAGUGACCCCGCGCCGAAAAUGUACCGGGGCUAAACAUAUUACCGAAACUGUGGAUGAACCUCUUUAGAGGUUCGUGGUAGGAGAGCGUUCUAAGGGCGGUGAAGUCAGACCGGAAGGACUGGUGGAGCGCUUAGAAGUGAGAAUGCCGGUAUGAGUAGCGAAAGAAGGGUGAGAAUCCCUUCCACCGAAUAUCUAAGGUUUCCUGAGGAAGGCUCGUCCGCUCAGGGUUAGUCGGGACCUAAGCCGAGGCCGAUAGGCGUAGGCGAUGGACAACAGGUAGAGAUUCCUGUACCAGUGCUAAUUGUUUAACCGAUGGGGUGACACAGAAGGAUAGGGAAUCGCACGAAUGGAAAUGUGCGUCCAAGCAGUGAGUGUGAGAAGUAGGCAAAUCCGCUUCUCGCGAAGCAUGAGCUGUGAUGGGGAAGGAAAUUAAGUACGGAAGUUCCUGAUUUCACGCUGUCAAGAAAAGCCUCUAGGAAGAGUAGUACUGCCCGUACCGCAAACCGACACAGGUAGAUGAGGAGAGAAUCCUAAGGUGAGCGAGAGAACUCUCGUUAAGGAACUCGGCAAAAUGACCCCGUAACUUCGGGAGAAGGGGUGCUCUAUUAGGGUGCAAGCCCGAGAGAGCCGCAGUGAAUAGGCCCAGGCGACUGUUUAGCAAAAACACAGGUCUCUGCAAAACCGUAAGGUGACGUAUAGGGGCUGACGCCUGCCCGGUGCUGGAAGGUUAAGAGGAGUGCUUAGCUUCGGCGAAGGUACGAAUUGAAGCCCCAGUAAACGGCGGCCGUAACUAUAACGGUCCUAAGGUAGCGAAAUUCCUUGUCGGGUAAGUUCCGACCCGCACGAAAGGCGCAACGAUCUGGGCACUGUCUCAACGAGAGACUCGGUGAAAUUAUAGUACCUGUGAAGAUGCAGGUUACCCGCGACAGGACGGAAAGACCCCGUGGAGCUUUACUGCAACCUGAUAUGGAAUGUUUGUACCGCUUGUACAGGAUAGGUAGGAGCCGAAGAGACGUGUGCGCUAGCAUACGAGGAGGCAAUGGUGGGAUACUACCCUGGCUGUAUGACCAUUCUAACCCGCCACGCUUAGCGCGUGGGGAGACAGUGUCAGGUGGGCAGUUUGACUGGGGCGGUCGCCUCCUAAAGAGUAACGGAGGCGCCCAAAGGUUCCCUCAGAAUGGAUGGAAAUCAUUCGCAGAGUGUAAAGGCACAAGGGAGCUUGANGGAGGCGCCCAAAGGUUCCCUCAGAAUGGAUGGAAAUCAUUCGCAGAGUGUAAAGGCACAAGGGAGCUUGACUGCGAGACUGACAAGUCGAGCAGGGACGAAAGUCGGGCUUAGUGAUCCGGUGGUUCCGCAUGGAAGGGCCAUCGCUCAACGGAUAAAAGCUACCCCGGGGAUAACAGGCUUAUCUCCCCCAAGAGUCCACAUCGACGGGGAGGUUUGGCACCUCGAUGUCGGCUCGUCGCAUCCUGGGGCUGUAGUCGGUCCCAAGGGUUGGGCUGUUCGCCCAUUAAAGCGGCACGCGAGCUGGGUUCAGAACGUCGUGAGACAGUUCGGUCCCUAUCCGUCGCGGGCGCAGGAAAUUUGAGAGGAGCUGUCCUUAGUACGAGAGGACCGGGAUGGACACACCGCUGGUGUACCAGUUGUUCCGCCAGGAGCAUCGCUGGGUAGCUAUGUGUGGCAGGGAUAAACGCUGAAAGCAUCUAAGCGUGAAGCCCCCCUCAAGAUGAGAUUUCCCAUUUCUUCGGAAAGUAAGAUCCCUGAAAGAUGAUCAGGUAGAUAGGUUUGGAGUGGAAGUGUAGCGAUACAUGGAGCGGACAAAUACUAAUCGAUCGAGGACUUAACCAAAA
This 3008-nucleotide ribosomal RNA is filed under the name Listeria monocytogenes. RNAcentral describes it as "bacterial LSU rRNA". It matches the Rfam family "Bacterial large subunit ribosomal RNA". The record is from RNAcentral. Lineage: Bacteria; Bacillati; Bacillota; Bacilli; Caryophanales; Listeriaceae.